Manduca sexta (tobacco hornworm) is the source of this 300-nucleotide long non-coding RNA. RefSeq lists it as uncharacterized. The transcript is spliced from 3 exons. The record is from RefSeq and is a predicted model, not a curated record. NCBI's taxonomy places the organism in Eukaryota, Metazoa, Arthropoda, Insecta, Lepidoptera, Sphingidae.
CAAGUGUCUUUAUACUUGAUGGGAAAUGUUUACUGUUGUGCCGUGAUUUGUGUAUUAUCGUGUGGAAAAAGCGUCGGUCCCACAUUUUCUUAUAGAAAUAUUCCACGAUGAGUGUGCUCAGCCAUGUAAUGAAAUUCGAACAGAUGACAAAAAUCCCGUUGGAUUACGAAAAAUAUAAUGACCAACCCGCGGAGCCUUACGAGAUGAAUGUUUUGAGUCAAGUAAUAAGCAACGAGCAGAUGACGAAGAUUACAUCAGGAUUUCGGAGAUUAGGUGGUAAGUCUGUAAUAUGCAUUGCAU